GAGGGAUAUUGGUCAAUGGGGGCAACCCUGAACCAGCGACGCCGCGUGGGUGAUGAAGGUCUUCGGAUCGUAAAACCCUUUCUAGGUGACGAGACAAGGACGGUAGCCUAGGAAGAAGUCUCGGCUAACUACGUGCCAGCAGCCGCGGUAAAACGUAGGAGGCAAGCGUUAUCCGGAGUUACUGGGCGUAAAGCGCAUGUAGGCGGUUGGGUAAGUGGCGUGUGAAAGCUCCCGGCUAAACUGGGAGACGACAGGUCAGACUGCCGAACUCGAGUCCGAUAGAGGGGCGUAGAAUUCCGGGUGUAGCGGUGAAAUGUGUAGAGAUCCGGAGGAAUACCAGUGGCGCAAGCGGCGCCCUGGGUCGGGACUGACGCUGAGAUGCGAAAGCGUGGGGAGCGAACGGGAUUAGAGACCCCGGUAGUCCACGCCGUAAACGAUGCGAACUGGGUGUUCACUCACCGACAGGUGAGGGAGUGCCGAAGCUAACGCGCUAAGUUCGCCGCCUGGGGAGUACGGUCGCAAGACUA
RNAcentral lists this ribosomal RNA (527 nucleotides) under uncultured bacterium. RNAcentral describes it as "bacterial SSU rRNA". It matches the Rfam family "Bacterial small subunit ribosomal RNA", at positions 356 to 896 of the family's 1533-position model. The record is from RNAcentral.